CGCUGACCGGGGACGGGCAAGGGGCGAGGACGGCCAGGGAGGACGAGGCGUUGGCGGUGGGGGAGUCGACCAGGCCGGAAUACACCGCCAGCAGGCCAAAGCGUGUCCCUGUGGAUGUGCACUGUUUGCACUAACAACAUGGCUGAAAAACAACAGGGGCCAUUGCACGGAUAACACACGGAAGACUAUCAGGACAACAUCUUACGGACUCUUCGGUUGACAAUGCAACUUAAGAUGGUCAUCCUUAGCCGGAUGGACAUCGGCGGCGGGGAUGAAUGAUGGGACAGACAGAUGAGGUGCUGCUGGAUGUUUUAAUAUAGUUGCCAUAACAUGUAUGCAGACAGUACAAGUUGCGUGUUGGAAUCAUGGAUCGGGGUAAGUUUGGGGAAGGAGAAGGGGGGGGGGCGACAAACAGUAAACAAAGCCAA
Molecule: long non-coding RNA, 428 nt
Organism: Hippocampus comes (tiger tail seahorse)
Lineage: Eukaryota; Metazoa; Chordata; Actinopteri; Syngnathiformes; Syngnathidae
Exons: 3
Source: RefSeq, a predicted model, not a curated record